RNAcentral lists this unclassified non-coding RNA (242 nucleotides) under uncultured fungus. RNAcentral's name for it is "partial contains 5.8S ribosomal RNA, internal transcribed spacer 2, and large subunit ribosomal RNA". Lineage: Eukaryota; Fungi. The record is from RNAcentral.
AACGCACAUUGCGCCUCCCCUUACCGGGAGGCAUGCCUGUCUGAGCGUCAUUUAAAUCCAUAAAUCGUGUCCGAUUUGUGUUGGGCUCUGCACCCAUGUGCAUUGCCUUGAAUCCCUGGGUCUUGAUUUGCGGACGAGUUCCUGUUGGACUUACCGUGAAGUUGGACCGAGACUGAGGCCCCACAAGGGGGCUCAUCUGAAUCUUUGACCUCAGAUCAGGUAGGAAGACCGCCUGAACUUAA